AGAGUUUGAUCAUGGCUCAGAUUGAACGCUGGCGGCAGGCCUAACACAUGCAAGUCGAGCGGUAGCACAGAGAGCUUGCUCUCGGGUGACGAGCGGCGGACGGGUGAGUAAUGUCUGGGAAACUGCCUGAUGGAGGGGGAUAACUACUGGAAACGGUAGCUAAUACCGCAUAACGUCGCAAGACCAAAGUGGGGGACCUUCGGGCCUCAUGCCAUCAGAUGUGCCCAGAUGGGAUUAGCUAGUAGGUGGGGUAACGGCUCACCUAGGCGACGAUCCCUAGCUGGUCUGAGAGGAUGACCAGCCACACUGGAACUGAGACACGGUCCAGACUCCUACGGGAGGCAGCAGUGGGGAAUAUUGCACAAUGGGCGCAAGCCUGAUGCAGCCAUGCCGCGUGUGUGAAGAAGGCCUUCGGGUUGUAAAGCACUUUCAGCGGGGAGGAAGGCGUUAAGGUUAAUAACCUUAUCGAUUGACGUUACCCGCAGAAGAAGCACCGGCUAACUCCGUGCCAGCAGCCGCGGUAAUACGGAGGGUGCAAGCGUUAAUCGGAAUUACUGGGCGUAAAGCGCACGCAGGCGGUCUGUCAAGUCGGAUGUGAAAUCCCCGGGCUCAACCUGGGAACUGCAUUCGAAACUGGCAGGCUAGAGUCUUGUAGAGGGGGGUAGAAUUCCAGGUGUAGCGGUGAAAUGCGUAGAGAUCUGGAGGAAUACCGGUGGCGAAGGCGGCCCCCUGGACAAAGACUGACGCUCAGGUGCGAAAGCGUGGGGAGCAAACAGGAUUAGAUACCCUGGUAGUCCACGCCGUAAACGAUGUCGAUUUGGAGGUUGUGCCCUUGAGGCGUGGCUUCCGGAGCUAACGCGUUAAAUCGACCGCCUGGGGAGUACGGCCGCAAGGUUAAAACUCAAAUGAAUUGACGGGGGCCCGCACAAGCGGUGGAGCAUGUGGUUUAAUUCGAUGCAACGCGAAGAACCUUACCUGGUCUUGACAUCCACAGAACUUUCCAGAGAUGGAUUGGUGCCUUCGGGAACUGUGAGACAGGUGCUGCAUGGCUGUCGUCAGCUCGUGUUGUGAAAUGUUGGGUUAAGUCCCGCAACGAGCGCAACCCUUAUCCUUUGUUGCCAGCGGUCCGGCCGGGAACUCAAAGGAGACUGCCAGUGAUAAACUGGAGGAAGGUGGGGAUGACGUCAAGUCAUCAUGGCCCUUACGACCAGGGCUACACACGUGCUACAAUGGCAUAUACAAAGAGAAGCGACCUCGCGAGAGCAAGCGGACCUCAUAAAGUAUGUCGUAGUCCGGAUUGGAGUCUGCAACUCGACUCCAUGAAGUCGGAAUCGCUAGUAAUCGUAGAUCAGAAUGCUACGGUGAAUACGUUCCCGGGCCUUGUACACACCGCCCGUCACACCAUGGGAGUGGGUUGCAAAAGAAGUAGGUAGCUUAACCUUCGGGAGGGCGCUUACCACUUUGUGAUUCAUGACUGGGGUGAAGUCGUAACAAGGUAACCGUAGGGGAACCUGCGGUUGGAUCACCUCCUU
Molecule: ribosomal RNA, 1532 nt
Filed under: Klebsiella pneumoniae UHKPC47
Lineage: Bacteria; Pseudomonadati; Pseudomonadota; Gammaproteobacteria; Enterobacterales; Enterobacteriaceae
Description: bacterial SSU rRNA
Rfam family: Bacterial small subunit ribosomal RNA
Source: RNAcentral